AGAAGGUUUUCCCACAAACCUAACAACACUUUACAUCUCUCAUCCUAAAAUCACUGAAGCCUUGUUCGAUUGGGGGCUGGACAACCUCACUUACCUAAAUGAACUUGAAAUUGGUGGAUGUCAGAAUCUGGUGUCCUUUCCAGAGAUGACGUUGCCUGCCUCUCUAACAAGCCUCUGCAUCUCAAAAUUCUCGAAUCUGGAAUGCCUGUCUUCCGAGGGCUUAAGAAAACUCACCUCUCUUAAAACACUCAAGAUUUUUUACUGCAAGAAGCUCAAGUGUUUUUCAGAGGAUGGCCUACCUGCCUCACUCCAGCAACUUCUAAUCAAUAAAUGUCCUCUGCUUGAAGAACGCUGCAAGAAAGAUCAGAGAGGAGAGUGGCGCAGGAUAGCUGACAUCCCUUGUGUUAAAAUUAAUCGCAGAUACAUUUAUGACACAGAAACAGACGAAGAUGAGAUAGAAAUAGAGGAAUAUGAGACAAUAACAGAGGAAGGCGAGACAGAAACAGAGGAAUGAGGAAUAAAUCCAAAGAUUGUUCAAAAGACUGACGCAUGUUGUUGCAACUUCCGACUACUAUCUGAAAACUGGAUGUGCAAAGACCCAAAAUUGAGACCCACAUUUGCUGAGAUCAUGGCUGCUUUGAAGCUGUUGCAGAAGCCAAUAGCCAAUUCUCAAGUUCCCAGGCCAAGCACAUCCACAUGCAGUGGCCGUCAGAAGGCUUUACCAUCACAAACUGCAGAAGAAGCAAGCUAGAACAGCAAACUAUACCAUCAUACCAAUUUGAGAUUGUGAUACCAUCAGUGCUGCUAUCCUCAAGAAUGCAAUCUGCAUUUGUUGUUAGUACAAGGAUGAGCAAAGGACAACAUUCCCUUUAUGUUUAACAACUAUUUAACAGAACAGUCCAUUUUACAACCAACCAAGAUGUUUCCGUGAAUUACCCAAAUCAGAUUUCUCUUGGCUUCUGGGUCCCAUCUGAGUUGGAUUAAUAUUAUCUCUCUCUUCUUAAUUAUGAUUACAAUAUAGGGGAAAAUAUCAAUGGAAAAAAUCCUCUGGCUGAGUUUAAACUGGACCCACCCUUGAAAGCAACUUUAGCCGAGUUUCUUCAAUAAUAAUAAUAAUAAUAAUAAAACAAGAAAAUCCCUCAGCUUAGCUGUUUUAUAACUCUUAUAUCUGUUUCUGGAUUGUUUUGUCUUUCAUAAUCUGUAUAUUUGGAACCAAUCUAUAUAGAAGAAGUUUGAUUAAUCUAAAUGAAAAGUGGGUGAUAAAGAAAUAAAAAAAACAUAGAUAAAAGAAAGGAUUGCAAACUUCAUAUUCCGGUAACCAAAAUUCAUCGUUGUCCAACCCCAAAGUCUCUAGUAAGAACUGUCUUCAUGAAUAGAUAAUCACAAUCUUCAAGAAAUGGAUCAGCUAUUUAUUUUGUGUCUC
This is a long non-coding RNA of Juglans microcarpa x Juglans regia, 1423 nucleotides long. RefSeq lists it as uncharacterized. The record is from RefSeq and is a predicted model, not a curated record. NCBI's taxonomy places the organism in Eukaryota, Viridiplantae, Streptophyta, Magnoliopsida, Fagales, Juglandaceae. The transcript is spliced from 5 exons.